AACGGUCUAUACCUGCGGUACCUGCGGAAGGAUCAUUACCGAGUUACCAACUCCCAAACCCCUGUGAACAUACCCGAACGUUGCCUCGGCGGGACCGCCCCGGCGCCCCUAGCGGCCCGGAACCAGGCGCCCGCCGGAGGACCCAAACUCUUGCUUUAAACAGUGGCAUACUCUCUGAGUCUCACAAACAAAAAAUAAAUCAAAACUUUUAACAAUGGAUCUCUAGAUCGGAAGAGCACA
Molecule: unclassified non-coding RNA, 240 nt
Filed under: soil metagenome
Description: partial contains 5.8S ribosomal RNA, internal transcribed spacer 2, and large subunit ribosomal RNA
Source: RNAcentral